Molecule: ribosomal RNA, 840 nt
Filed under: Bacillus licheniformis
Lineage: Bacteria; Bacillati; Bacillota; Bacilli; Caryophanales; Bacillaceae
Description: bacterial SSU rRNA
Rfam family: Bacterial small subunit ribosomal RNA
Source: RNAcentral
UAGAGUUUGAUCCUGGCUCAGGACGAACGCUGGCGGCGUGCCUAAUACAUGCAAGUCGAGCGGACAGAUGGGAGCUUGCUCCCUGAUGUUAGCGGCGGACGGGUGAGUAACACGUGGGUAACCUGCCUGUAAGACUGGGAUAACUCCGGGAAACCGGGGCUAAUACCGGAUGGUUGUUUGAACCGCAUGGUUCAAACAUAAAAGGUGGCUUCGGCUACCACUUACAGAUGGACCCGCGGCGCAUUAGCUAGUUGGUGAGGUAAUGGCUCACCAAGGCAACGAUGCGUAGCCGACCUGAGAGGGUGAUCGGCCACACUGGGACUGAGACACGGCCCAGACUCCUACGGGAGGCAGCAGUAGGGAAUCUUCCGCAAUGGACGAAAGUCUGACGGAGCAACGCCGCGUGAGUGAUGAAGGUUUUCGGAUCGUAAAGCUCUGUUGUUAGGGAAGAACAAGUACCGUUCGAAUAGGGCGGUACCUUGACGGUACCUAACCAGAAAGCCACGGCUAACUACGUGCCAGCAGCCGCGGUAAUACGUAGGUGGCAAGCGUUGUCCGGAAUUAUUGGGCGUAAAGGGCUCGCAGGCGGUUUCUUAAGUCUGAUGUGAAAGCCCCCGGCUCAACCGGGGAGGGUCAUUGGAAACUGGGGAACUUGAGUGCAGAAGAGGAGAGUGGAAUUCCACGUGUAGCGGUGAAAUGCGUAGAGAUGUGGAGGAACACCAGUGGCGAAGGCGACUCUCUGGUCUGUAACUGACGCUGAGGAGCGAAAGCGUGGGGAGCGAACAGGAUUAGAUACCCUGGUAGUCCACGCCGUAAACGAUGAGUGCUAAGUGUUAGGGG